UAGGGAAUCUUCGGCAAUGGGGGGAACCCUGACCGAGCAACGCCGCGUGAGUGAAGAAGGUUUUCGGAUCGUAAAGCUCUGUUGUUAAGGAAGAACGAGUGUGAGAAUGGAAAGUUCAUGCUGUGACGGUACUUAACUAGAAAGGGACGGCUAACUACGUGCCAGCAGCCGCGGUAAUACGUAGGUGGCAAGCGUUGUCCGGAUUUAUUGGGCGUAAAGCGAGCGCAGGCGGUCAAUUAAGUCUGAUGUGAAAGCCCCCGGCUCAACCGGGGAGGGUCAUUGGAAACUGGUUGACUUGAGUGCAGAAGAGGAGAGUGGAAUUCCAUGUGUAGCGGUGAAAUGCGUAGAUAUAUGGAGGAACACCAGUGGCGAAGGCGACUCUCUGGUCUGUAACUGACGCUGAGGCUCGAAAGCGUGGGUAGCAAACAGG
This 430-nucleotide ribosomal RNA is filed under the name Bacteroidota bacterium. RNAcentral's name for it is "Bacteroidetes bacterium partial 16S ribosomal RNA". It matches the Rfam family "Bacterial small subunit ribosomal RNA", at positions 355 to 776 of the family's 1533-position model. Lineage: Bacteria; Pseudomonadati; Bacteroidota. The record is from RNAcentral.